ACACUUAUACAGUUUUAUAAUUCCAAGGCUAUAAAAAUAUACACAUACACACAUAUAUAUAUAUAUUAUAAACAUAUUUUAUGGAUUCUUUUUUUUUUUUAAUAGUGCUUAAGCGAAUUAAAUAGACCAUUGACAGAUUAUAACUACUGGUAUUGUCCUAUUUGUAAAAAAAAUGGCGUAUCUAUGGGCGUCUCUUACAAGCGGAAGAAGAGAUUAAAAACGAUAAGUACACAAGAGAAAAAAAAAGAAAAAGUAAAACAGAAAACUGAAGGCAGCAACUACACAGGUCAAAUAAAUGUAGGGGAUAACUAUCAAGUAUCAAAUAUAACUACUUUCUUUUUAAAUAGUAAUUCAGAGACAUAUGAAGAAGAAAACACAUCAGAGUUAGUUUAUUCACCUCACCUACUAGAGCGAAUGAAAGAAUGUUACUUAAGUGAAGGACAGUAUGAAUUAGUUUUAAAAAAUGAUUACGAGUUGGCUGUUUUUAUUAAGGAGCUAGCUCAGAAUUGGAAAUGUCAAAUGGGAUGGUAUCCAUUUACUCCUGAAUAUGCUUUUAAGAUUUUACAUCGAGUGGAUUAUAACCCUAAGAGGGCUAUUGAACUGCUGAAAAGUUCUGAUUUUAAUUUUUUGGGUAAAAAAAUAAAAAUAAGGAACAGCCACAUACCUAACAUAUACAUAUUUAUACUCAUAUAUUUAAACUAAUAUAUUUAAACU
Molecule: long non-coding RNA, 714 nt
Filed under: Piliocolobus tephrosceles (Ugandan red Colobus)
Lineage: Eukaryota; Metazoa; Chordata; Mammalia; Primates; Cercopithecidae
Description: lncRNA (ENSPTEG00000024746.1)
Source: RNAcentral